GAGUGCGAUCAUACCAGCACUAA
Molecule: ribosomal RNA, 23 nt
Filed under: Populus deltoides
Lineage: Eukaryota; Viridiplantae; Streptophyta; Magnoliopsida; Malpighiales; Salicaceae
Also listed under: 1 other name
Source: RNAcentral